UACGGAGGGUGCGAGCGUUGUCCGGAUUUAUUGGGCUUAAAGGGCGCGCAGGUGGCCCGGUCAGUCAGUGGUGAAAUGCGGCCGCUCAACGGUCGAACUGCCAUUGAUACUGCCUGGCUUGAGAGGAGUGGAGGCAGCCGGAACGGACGGUGUAGCGGUGAAAUGCAGAGAUAUCGUGCGGAACGCCGAUUGCGAAGGCAGGUGGCUGCGCUUCGUCUGACACUGAGGCGCGAAAGCGUGGGGAGCGAACAGG
This 253-nucleotide ribosomal RNA is filed under the name uncultured bacterium. RNAcentral describes it as "partial 16S ribosomal RNA". It matches the Rfam family "Bacterial small subunit ribosomal RNA", at positions 524 to 776 of the family's 1533-position model. The record is from RNAcentral.